GAUGAACGCUGGCGGCGUGCCUAAUACAUGCAAGUCGAGCGAACGGACGAGAAGCUUGCUUCUCUGAUGUUAGCGGCGGACGGGUGAGUAACACGUGGAUAACCUACCUAUAAGACUGGGAUAACUUCGGGAAACCGGAGCUAAUACCGGAUAAUAUUUUGAACCGCAUGGUUCAAAAGUGAAAGACGGUCUUGCUGUCACUUAUAGAUGGAUCCGCGCUGCAUUAGCUAGUUGGUAAGGUAACGGCUUACCAAGGCAACGAUGCAUAGCCGACCUGAGAGAGUCAACGGCCACACAGAGAGUGAGACACGGUCCAAAAACCUACGGUAGGCAGCAGUAGCGAAACCUGCGCAAUGAGCGAAAGCCUGACGGGGCAACGCGGCGUGAGUGAUGAAGGUCAUCGGAUCGUAAAACUCUGUUAUUAGGGAAGAACAUAUGUGUAAGUAACUGUGCACAGCUUGACGGUACCUAAUCAGAAAGCCACGGCUAACUACGUG
RNAcentral lists this ribosomal RNA (497 nucleotides) under uncultured bacterium. Its description in RNAcentral is "partial 16S ribosomal RNA". It matches the Rfam family "Bacterial small subunit ribosomal RNA", at positions 28 to 507 of the family's 1533-position model. The record is from RNAcentral.